RNAcentral lists this transfer RNA (77 nucleotides) under Halalkalibaculum roseum. Its description in RNAcentral is "Balneolaceae bacterium YR4-1 tRNA-Pro". It matches the Rfam family "tRNA". From Rfam's summary of the family: Transfer RNA (tRNA) molecules are approximately 80 nucleotides in length. Lineage: Bacteria; Pseudomonadati; Balneolota; Balneolia; Balneolales; Balneolaceae. The record is from RNAcentral.
CGGGACGUGGCGCAGUCCGGUAGCGCACACGACUGGGGGUCGUGGGGUCGCAGGUUCAAAUCCUGUCGUCCCGACCA